CCAAGGCUAAAUACUCCUGACUGACCGAUAGUGAACCAGUACCGUGAGGGAAAGGCGAAAAGAACCCCGGCGAGGGGAGUGAAAAAGAACCUGAAACCGUGUACGUACAAGCAGUGGGAGCACAGAGCAAUCUGUGUGACUGCGUACCUUUUGUAUAAUGGGUCAGCGACUUAUAUUCUGUAGCAAGGUUAACCGAAUAGGGGAGCCGAAGGGAAACCGAGUCUUAACUGGGCGUUAAGUUGCAGGGUAUAGACCCGAAACCCGGUGAUCUAGCCAUGGGCAGGUUGAAGGUUGGGUAACACUAACUGGAGGACCGAACCGACUAAUGUUGAAAAAUUAGCGGAUGACUUGUGGCUGGGGGUGAAAGGCCAAUCAAACCGGGAGAUAGCUGGUUCUCCCCGAAAGCUAUUUAGGUAGCGCCUCGUGAAUUCAUCUCCGGGGGUAGAGCACUGUUUCGGCAAGGGGGUCAUCCCGACUUACCAACCCGAUGCAAACUGCGAAUACCGGAGAAUGUUAUCACGGGAGACACACGGCGGGUGCUAACGUCCGUCGUGAAGAGGGAAACAACCCAGACCGCCAGCUAAGGUCCCAAAGUCAUGGUUAAGUGGGAAACGAUGUGGGAAGGCCCAGACAGCCAGGAUGUUGGCUUAGAAGCAGCCAUCAUUUAAAGAAAGCGUAAUAGCUCACUGGUCGAGUCGGCCUGCGCGGAAGAUGUAACGGGGCUAAACCAUG
This 732-nucleotide ribosomal RNA is filed under the name Escherichia coli. RNAcentral describes it as "partial 23S ribosomal RNA". It matches the Rfam family "Bacterial large subunit ribosomal RNA", at positions 460 to 1191 of the family's 2925-position model. The record is from RNAcentral. Lineage: Bacteria; Pseudomonadati; Pseudomonadota; Gammaproteobacteria; Enterobacterales; Enterobacteriaceae.